Molecule: ribosomal RNA, 497 nt
Filed under: uncultured bacterium
Lineage: Bacteria
Description: partial 16S ribosomal RNA
Rfam family: Bacterial small subunit ribosomal RNA
Source: RNAcentral
GAUGAACGCUGGCGGCGUGCCUAAUACAUGCAAGUCGAGCGAACAGACGAGGAGCUUUCUCCUCUGACGUUAGCGGCGGACGGGUGAGUAACACGUGGAUAACCUACCUAUAAGACUGGGAUAACUUCGUGAAACCGGAGCUAAUACCGGAUAAUAUAUUGAACCGCAUGGUUCAAUAGUGAAAGACGGUUUUGCUGUCACUUAUAGAUGGAUCCGCGCCGCAUUAGCUAGUUGGUAAGGUAACGGCUUACCAAGGCAACGAUGCGUAGCCGACCUGAGAGGGUGAUCGGCCACACUGGAACUGAGACACGGUCCAGACUCCUACGGGAGGCAGCAGUAGGGAAUCUUCCGCAAUGGGCGAAAGCCUGACGGAGCAACGCCGCGUGAGUGAUGAAGGUCUUCGGAUCGUAAAACGCUGUUAUUAGGGAAGAACAAAUGUGUAAGUAACUAUGCACGUCUUGACGGUACCUAAUCAGAAAGCCACGGCUAACUACGUG